Molecule: ribosomal RNA, 497 nt
Filed under: uncultured bacterium
Lineage: Bacteria
Description: partial 16S ribosomal RNA
Rfam family: Bacterial small subunit ribosomal RNA
Source: RNAcentral
GACGAACGCUGGCGGCGUGCCUAAUACAUGCAAGUCGAGCGAACAGACGAGGAGCUUGCUCCUCUGACGUUAGCGGCGGACGGGUGAGUAACACGUGGAUAACCUACCUAUAAGACUGGGAUAACUUCGGGAAACCGGAGCUAAUACCGGAUAAUAUAUUGAACCGCAUGGUUCAAUAGUGAAAGACGGUUUUGCUGUCACUUAUAGAUGGAUCCGCGCCGCAUUAGCUAGUUGGUAAGGUAACGGCUUACCAAGGCAACGAUGCGUAGCCGACCUGAGAGGGUGAUCGGCCACACUGGAACUGAGACACGGUCCAGACUCCUACGGGAGGCAGCAGUAGGGAAUCUUCCGCAAUGGGCGAAAGCCUGACGGAGCAACGCCGCGUGAGUGAUGAAGGUCUUCGGAUCGUAAAACUCUGUUAUUAGGGAAGAACAAAUGUGUAAGUAACUAUGCCCGUCUUGACGGUACCUAAUCAGAAAGCCACGGCUAACUACGUG